This 497-nucleotide ribosomal RNA is filed under the name uncultured bacterium. RNAcentral describes it as "bacterial SSU rRNA". It matches the Rfam family "Bacterial small subunit ribosomal RNA", at positions 15 to 518 of the family's 1533-position model. The record is from RNAcentral.
GAUCAUGGCUCAGGAUGAACGCUGGCGGCGUGCUUAACACAUGCAAGUCGAACGAAGCCAAAAGGAAGCUUGCUUUCUUGAAGCUUAGUGGCGGACGGGUGAGUAACGCGUGAGGAACCUGCCCUUCAGUGGGGAAUAACAGCCGGAAACGACUGCUAAUACCGCAUAGCGUCAUCGGACCGCAUGAUCUGGUGACCAAAGGAUUUAUUCGCUGAAGGAUGGCCUCGCGUCCGAUUAGGCAGUUGGUGAGGUAACGGCCCACCAAACCUACGAUCGGUAGCCGAACUGAGAGGUUGAUCGGCCACAUUGGGACUGAGACACGGCCCAGACUCCUACGGGAGGCAGCAGCGGGGAAUAUUGGGCAAUGGGCGAAAGCCCUGACCCAGCAACGCCGCGUGAAGGAUGACGGUCUUCGGAUUGUAAACUUCUUUGAUUGGGGAAGAACAAAAUGACCUACCCAAAGAACAAGUCACGGCUAACUACGUGCCAGCCGCCGC